Molecule: RNA transcript, 5309 nt
Organism: Metopolophium dirhodum (rose-grain aphid)
Lineage: Eukaryota; Metazoa; Arthropoda; Insecta; Hemiptera; Aphididae
Exons: 14
Source: RefSeq, a predicted model, not a curated record
GUACUCUCUAAGUACUUACUACUUGGUACCAAUUUAUCGAUUUAUGUUCUUACUUUUUCAGUUUUUGAAACGCACUAACGCAGUACGUUUAAAACUGACCUAUUUCGAUGUCUUUGUCGGUCUUGUACGAAUCGUUGUAAUGUCUACGAUAAACGUUUGACAAGCUACAACGAUGGAAAACCAGUCGAUUGAUAAAGCGGCUCUCGUAAGUCCGCCGAGACAAGUUCUGCCUGGUUAUGUGGCACAACAACCUCCGCCACACAAUAACCAAAUACACUUGCAGACGGAUUUCACGUCUCCACCACCAACACAUCCCCAUGGGUUCUGGCCACAAGCUUUUCCCAAUUCAUGGCAAACACAGUUCCGUAUGCCCAGUCCUGCGCCACAGGCCAAAACUACCGUUACAAACACUACGACAUGUAAUAACAAUCCUCCCACGUUCAGUUCAUCUAGUAACAGUACUAUAAGAUCACCUUUGCCACGCUGGAGGUCGUUCAACAACAGUGCACGUCAACGAACACCUUAUCAGUAUGGGAAUACUCCAAGAAACAAUUAUCCAAGACAGUUCUCUCAAAAUGCUAAUGGGAAUUUCUUUGCUAAUUCUCCACAAAAUCCACAAACACCAUCAUCAUCAUCAACACAAAAUUGGCCUCAAUUUAAUCAAAGACCUCGGUUUAUACCAAGACAACAUAUGCGUAUGAACAGACCUCGUAGUUCCGUUCAAAAUCAAUCAAAUGGAACUAAUCAGGAAACAAAUGCUGUGACUGAAUGUAAAACACGUAAGCGCAAAUUAAAAUCACAACAAUCUGGAGAACCACAGCGUGCUCAAAAACCAUGGAAUCGCGAAGAUGCUGUAAAAGCAAUCGCUGCCGAGAUGGAACUUCGCACACCUAAAAACAAUCAACAAAUCAUGAUCAGAUUUCCAGAUCAUGAAAUUACACGGCAAAUUGUUCAGAACUUUCAUACUGACAUCAAAUCUGUACAUUUCCAUACACCAUGUAAUCCGAGGUAUUGUUAUGUGCAAGUACAACCAAGUGCAAAUAUUGAAAAUGUUGCAAAUGCGCUAAAUGAAACUUUUUUCCAACAUGAAAAAUUGAGGGUAGAAAUCAAAGAAAGUCAGUUUGAAGAAAAGGCAUUCCCGGAGUGCAUUGAUCCAUAUACAUUAUAUCUUGGAAAUUUGCCAACAAAUAUCACAUCUAAUGCUGUUAAAGAUGAAUUUCCAAAGGCGACUCGAGUUGACAUUGGGUUUGCUAAAAAAAUGAAGUACACAAGAUAUGCAUUUAUUAAAUUUUCUAAUGCGGAAGAUGCAAUACAAGCGUAUAAAGAAAAAUAUAAUUUGGUUAUUGAUAGCCGAUCAGUUGUGUUAAGAUUUAGACGUGGCAAAGGAAAUGUAAAUCCACCUGGACAGGUUGAUAAAUUACCAAAUGAGAUGAAUGAAUUUGAUAUACAAAGUUUACGAAAAAAAAUCAAGAGAGAACCUGUAGAAGAAAAUAUUGAUGAAUAUGAUCCUCCUCCAAUUAAUGUAUCGAGAGUAGUUAAGCCUGAAAUGAUGGAAGAGGAUGAAUAUGAACAUGAUUCUGUGUAUGAAUCUAUACCAUAUGCAAAUGAUAUUAGUAUAAAAUCUGAGUGUCCAGAUUAUGAAGAUGAAUAUGAUGAACAAUAUUAUGAAGAGGAAGAUACAAAUGUAUCUUAUACUUUCCGAAGAAAUGAAACUGUCAGUAUGGAUGUAGUGCUUGCUGAUAACAAUAGUGUUCAGUGCAUUCAAACCGAUCACAGUGACGAUAUCACAAUACCUACUGAAGUUGAGGAUGAAGAUAGACAAUGGAAUGAAAAACCUGACGACGAAGAUGAGUUUGAUGUGCCAUAUUCAUUUGUAUCAAAAAAUCAAGUACUAUUAGAAAAUAACAAAGACAUUACUUUACCUAAAACCGAUGAAAUUAAUGAUGGCGGAAGCGACAAAGAAGAUCAAAGAUGGAACAAUUCAUCAGAUGAUGAUAAUGAUGACGAUGGUGGUGCUGAAUACAAUUGGGAAGGAUUAAAUGAACAAAAGAAAUCUGAGAAACAAACGAAAGAUAAUGAAAAACGAGAAUAUAACUUUAAAAAAUCAGAUGACAUUAGAGCCGUUAAAUGAUUCAAAUUCAAACUCGAAAUACACACGAGUCUUGUUCACUCAAUGUGGCCAAAGGGGUGUUUAGGUUUGUAUCGGCCCGGUAUUGGGGCAUGUCAAGACGCAAAACUGAUGCACGUGUACUGAAGCGACAGAAGGAACGUCAAUCGCAAGCAGCAAGUCAGACUUCAAAUGAACUGAACUCACAAUACGCCAUCUAUUCUAUUUUCCAAACUGUAUCAUUGAAAAUCGAUCUACAUUAUAGAUCCCUUCAGACAUUCCUCUGCAUUGUGUAUGUUUUAAUCCUAUAUAUUAUCAUAGUUAAUCAAUAUUAAUACUUGUUAAAGCUGUGUGCGUGAAUCGAUGAAUAUAGUCUUAGUAGCAAAUUGUCUUUCUGUACAAGGUGUUCCUCUAAAUAUCAUCAGACUUUUUUGAUUGUCCGCUAGUUCGGAAUCUCUGUGAUUAGAUGAAUGAAAUUCUCAUCCCAGCUCCCGCCUCUCGGCCAAUCGAGAAAAAUGCUUAAAACUAUCAUGGUACUCCGUUUAAACUAUUUAUGUAUAAGUUAUAGAAUAGUUAAAUUUCCUCUUAUAAUGUUAGUAUAUUAUAUUGUGUUUAUUUUUUUUUUUAUAGUACUUUAUGUUGUACAAUAAUAACACUUAUAUAGUUGAUAUUAUAUAAUUACACACAUCACAUAUUAUAACAUAAUAUAAAUUAUACAUUGUCUAUUAUGCGUACAUAAUACGCAAUCAUAUAAUGUUAUAAUAAUAUUAUACCAUAAACUAGUUCCUCUAUAUUCAGUGUACAAACACACUUACAUUUUAACAUAGGUUAUACACAUAUAUUGUUGUAUAUUUUUCUCUUUAUAGUGAUGUACUUCCAACAUAAUUUAUAAAUUAAAUUAUUUAAUUAGAAGAAAAAUAAUUGUAUUUGUAUGUUGGAUGUACAUAAUUAAUGUCUGUUAAUUGUCCAUAAUGUGUUGUGAAGUUAUGUUUUUAAAUAUAAUAUUAUAAGUGUAUGAUAUGCAUAAACAAAGCUAUCCAUGUUAUAAGAUUUUUAUGGGAAAGUCUUCGAAAUUGGAGGUUUCGCUUAAUCUUAAACUUAUGUAUUGACCGUGACAGCAUAAUAUUGUAUAAAAAAAAUUUAAUAGAAUAUUGUAUUUUUUUUUUUUUUUGUGUGUACCAAUAAGUCUGUGCUCAUUAUUUUCGUAUUAUAUAUUUUACUCUAAUUUUUUUCAUCUACUAAAUUUAGAUAUUUAAAUACUUAGGUAAGCCUACAGUUGUUUUGGCUCUGCAUAAUUGACAAAUUGUAAAAAUUUUGAUAACAAUUAUUAUGCAUCAUGCUAUCAAACAUAUCGGGUAAUUUAUGUAUAUUUAUAUUGUAUAGCUUGCUUUAAAAUUAAGAUUUAUAUAAUGUUUAAAUAAUUUACAUUAACAUUAUAUUAUGAUUAAAAUCAAAAGGGAUUUUAAUUUAUAUAAUACAAUACUAUAGAUAUUUAUAUUAUAUAAUAUAUUAAAAUAAACUACAAACUCCAAACUUUGGAGUUUGUAGGUUAUAUGAAUAAGACUUUUAGACAAAACUCAUAUUAUUAUUACUAAAAUAUAUUAAAUUUAAGUAAUUUAAGUUCAUGUAACAUCAUUACAGUUUUUAAUUCCACAAUGUCUGACGAUUUAUUGGAUAAUCUCUUUGCUGUCUUUUCUUAUCAGGAAUUGUGAAUUAGAAUAGCUACUAUUAUUCAUUAUAUGUUUAAAUGUUUUAGUAUUAAUUAAAUAUAAAUUUUGGUUGGAUAACUGAUAUCUAGUUCUAGAUAGAUAAAUGUUGUACUAAACUUCAUGCCGUAUUGUUGCAAAUGUCUUUACAUUUUAUAAUUUUCAUUAUUAUUAUUUUUAUUAUAACUAUUUUGAUCAUUUAUAUUUUAUUGUAAUCUAAAAUAUUUUUAAAUGUAUUCCUUUGAUUAUAUUUUAUUUGUAUGAAUAUAAUCUAAUAUACAAUAGGUUAAUUUUUAAGUAUUUUUGCCCUUUUUAAAUGCUUCAAAUUCUGAUGUUUCUAGUUAUUAAAUUAAAGACCAUUUUAAAAUAUAACCAAUUAAAAAUCAUUUCAAAUGCUUAAAUUUUUGUUUGUCAUUUAAGGACUGUUUUGUUCUGGUGUUGAUUGAAAAGAGUAGUUACUGAAUUAAUAACUUUAUGUACUAAUUUGGUUAGUUUAUUUGAAUGUUGUAUUAUAAAUAUGUAUAACUUUAGCAGGGGCGGAAUGGUUCUAAAAUUCUUACCAAGAAAACCAAUAUUUUCAGGCUACUAAAUCUUAUAAGGAUCUUAUUAUACUGAUCAUCACAUAUGUCUUCCUAUAUUAUUAUUUCCUGUUUCAUUGUACACUAUAAAAAAAAUUGAAUAAUUUUUUUAUGCCAUUAUAUUACUUAAGGCUGUAAUGAUUUUUCUAGUAGAAUAUGUUCUUGACACCUAGUUUUUGGAACUUCUUAUCUAAAAGUUAUUAAUUUUUUUUGAAUAUAGCUUUGAAAAAUCUACUAAUUUAACAGUGUCAAAUGUUUCAAAUAGUGUGCCAUUCUGCCCCUAAACUUUAAAACCUAAUGGUUAAACAUAAACAGCAUUUGAAAACCAAUUCAGAAUUUUGAAUAAAUAGUUGAAGCAUUAAAAUUGGACAAGCAUGCUAAAUAAAUCACUCUACAAGGUGAUUCUUUUAUCAUGAAACACUCAUUGUUUCAAAAAGUAUUUUUAACCGUUUUUUAACAACAUGAAAUUAUGUAAAAAAAUAUUUUCAAAAACAUUAGUACUUUUUAAAAUAAUGAGUGUCGUGUUAAAAUAAUCACACUGUAUACAUGAAAUAAAUUUGAAAUUAUACAAAUUAUUGUAUUCUUUAUAAAAAAUUUAUAUAUGUAAGUCUUGUAUUUUGUGUUUCUUUUUGAUGUUCCGAUGUAUCUAAUACAUUUGUAUAAAUUUUUUAUUAUUUUUUAUCUACUUCGGAGGGACGUUAUUUAUACUCUUUUUUUUAUUAUUAUUGAAUUGUUAUACUCAUAUAACUUGUUCAGGAGACAUUGACAUCAGUUUCCAUUAUUUAGUACUAAUGAAUUUGUACUUUGUUCGAUAAUAAUUUAUGUUUAAAACUAAGUGUUCGUAAGAAUAAACUACAUUUGUAGAUUAGUAAAUAAGUUUUUUUUUAUCAAUAUAUACCUACAUUUGAAUUGAUUAUA